GAUUGAACGCUGGCGGUAUGCUUAACACAUGCAAGUCGAACGGAAACGGUACUAGCUUGCUAGUAGGCGUCGAGUGGCGGACGGGUGAGUAACGCGUAGGAAUCUGCCUGAUAGUGGGGGAUAGCCCGAAGAAAUUCGGAUUAAUACCGCAUAAUCUAUUCGUAGUAAAGUGGGGGACUUUCGAGCCUCACGCUAUCAGAUGAGCCUGCGUAAGAUUAGCUUGUUGGUAGGGUAAAAGCCUACCAAGGCGACGAUCUUUAGCUGGUCUGAGAGGAUGAUCAGCCACAUCGGGACUGAGACACGGCCCGAACUCCUACGGGAGGCAGCAGUGGGGAAUAUUGGACAAUGGGGGCAACCCUGAUCCAGCAAUACCGCGUGUGUGAAGAAGGCCUGAGGGUUGUAAAGCACUUUCAAUUGUGAAGAAAAGUUAGCGGUUAAUAACCGUUAGCCUUGACGUUAACUUUAGAAGAAGCACCGGCUAACUCCGUGCCAGCAGCCGCGGUAAUACGGAGGGUGCAAGCGUUAAUCGGAAUUACUGGGCGUAAAGCGUGCGUAGGCGGUUUAUUAAGUCAGAUGUGAAAGCCCCGGGCUUAACCUGGGAACUGCAUUUGAAACUGGUCAACUAGAGUAUGGUAGAGGAAAGUGGAAUUUCUGGUGUAGCGGUGAAAUGCGUAGAUAUCAGAAGGAACAUCAAUGGCGAAGGCAGCUUUCUGGACCAAUACUGACGCUGAGGUACGAAAGCGUGGGUAGCAAACAGGAUUAGAUACCCUGGUAGUCCACGCCGUAAACGAUGAUAACUAGCCGUUGGGGGGAUUUACCCUUUAGUGGCGAAGCUAACGCGUUAAGUUAUCCGCCUGGGGAGUACGGCCGCAAGGUUAAAACUCAAAGGAAUUGACGGGGACCCGCACAAGCGGUGGAGCAUGUGGUUUAAUUCGAUGCAACGCGAAGAACCUUACCUGGUCUUGACAUCCUGCGAACUUUCUAGAAAUAGAUUGGUGCCUUCGGGAACGCAGUGACAGGUGCUGCAUGGCUGUCGUCAGCUCGUGUCGUGAGAUGUUGGGUUAAGUCCCGUAACGAGCGCAACCCCUAUCCUUAUUUGCCAGCACAUCAUGGUGGGAACUAUAAGGAGACUGCCGGUGAUAAACCGGAGGAAGGCGGGGACGACGUCAAGUCAUCAUGGCCCUUACGACCAGGGCUACACACGUGCUACAAUGGGAAGGACAAAGAGCCGCGAAGCCGCGAGGUGUAGCUAAUCUCAUAAACCUUUUCGUAGUCCGGAUUGGAGUCUGCAACUCGACUCCAUGAAGUCGGAAUCGCUAGUAAUCGUAGAUCAGAAUGCUACGGUGAAUACGUUCCCGGGUCUUGUACUCACCGCCCGUCA
Molecule: ribosomal RNA, 1381 nt
Filed under: uncultured bacterium
Lineage: Bacteria
Description: 16S ribosomal RNA
Rfam family: Bacterial small subunit ribosomal RNA
Source: RNAcentral